Ribosomal RNA from Callithrix jacchus (white-tufted-ear marmoset), 118 nucleotides. The record is from Ensembl. Lineage: Eukaryota; Metazoa; Chordata; Mammalia; Primates; Cebidae.
AUCUAUGGCCAUACUACCCUGAAUGUGCCCUGUCUCACCUGAUCUCGAAGCCAAGCAGGGUCAGGCCUGGUUAGUACUUGGAUGGGAGACCACCUGGGAAUACCAGGUGCUAUAAGCU